GGACUACACGGGUUUCUAAUCCUGUUUGCUCCCCACGCUUUCGUGCCUCAGCGUCAGUGUUGAUCCAGAUGGCCGCCUUCGCCACUGAUGUUCCUCCCGAUCUCUACGCAUUUCACCGCUACACCGGGAAUUCCACCAUCCUCUAUCACACUCUAGCUAUCCAGUAUCCAUUGCCAUUCCCAGGUUGAGCCCGGGGAUUUCACAACAGACUUAAAUAACCGCCUACGCACGCUUUACGCCCAGUAAUUCCGAUUAACGCUUGCACCCUUCGUAUUACCGCGGCUGCUGGCAC
RNAcentral lists this ribosomal RNA (292 nucleotides) under uncultured bacterium. RNAcentral's name for it is "partial 16S ribosomal RNA". The record is from RNAcentral.